This 840-nucleotide ribosomal RNA is filed under the name Rahnella sp. RNAcentral's name for it is "bacterial SSU rRNA". It matches the Rfam family "Bacterial small subunit ribosomal RNA", at positions 75 to 921 of the family's 1533-position model. Lineage: Bacteria; Pseudomonadati; Pseudomonadota; Gammaproteobacteria; Enterobacterales; Yersiniaceae. The record is from RNAcentral.
GUAGCUUGCUACUUUGCCGGCGAGCGGCGGACGGGUGAGUAAUGUCUGGGAAACUGCCUGAUGGAGGGGGAUAACUACUGGAAACGGUAGCUAAUACCGCAUGACCUCGCAAGAGCAAAGUGGGGGACCUUCGGGCCUCACGCCAUCGGAUGUGCCCAGAUGGGAUUAGCUAGUAGGUGAGGUAAUGGCUCACCUAGGCGACGAUCCCUAGCUGGUCUGAGAGGAUGACCAGCCACACUGGAACUGAGACACGGUCCAGACUCCUACGGGAGGCAGCAGUGGGGAAUAUUGCACAAUGGGCGCAAGCCUGAUGCAGCCAUGCCGCGUGUGUGAAGAAGGCCUUAGGGUUGUAAAGCACUUUCAGCGAGGAGGAAGGGUUCAGUGUUAAUAGCACUGUACAUUGACGUUACUCGCAGAAGAAGCACCGGCUAACUCCGUGCCAGCAGCCGCGGUAAUACGGAGGGUGCAAGCGUUAAUCGGAAUUACUGGGCGUAAAGCGCACGCAGGCGGUUUGUUAAGUCAGAUGUGAAAUCCCCGAGCUUAACUUGGGAACUGCAUUUGAAACUGGCAAGCUAGAGUCUUGUAGAGGGGGGUAGAAUUCCAGGUGUAGCGGUGAAAUGCGUAGAGAUCUGGAGGAAUACCGGUGGCGAAGGCGGCCCCCUGGACAAAGACUGACGCUCAGGUGCGAAAGCGUGGGAGCAAACAGGAUUAGAUACCCUGGUAGUCCACGCUGUAAACGAUGUCGACUUGGAGGUUGUGCCCUUGAGGCGUGGCUUCCGGAGCUAACGCGUUAAGUCGAAGUACGGCCGCAAGGUUAAACUCAAUGAAUUGACGGCGCAC